AUUGUGAAUCUUUUAUUUUGACAUCUGGAUAGACAGGAAGGCUUUUAGUUUGACAUGCGCAUAGACAGGAAGCAGGAAGGGCAGAGAACAGUGGGAAAGCAUGGCUACACCUGUGUAAUCAUUCAUGUGGAAUCCAAAGCAAUCCUUCAAAGGAGUCCUUCAGAAAGCAAUAGUCGUAAGUUCUGUCAGUUCUUUGUAUAUUAAGCAAUUAAUAAUAUGGUGUUUUGAGACAUUAUUUUGUACCUUCUUUGAAGUGCAGUUAAAGGGUGCAGCUUCUGAGCUAAUGAUACAAGUGUACGCUCACCCACUACCUGCUUGUUUUUCUUUGUAGUAAUAUCAGUUUGUAUAUCUACAGUAUACUUAUUUCAUAGUCUCCUGUGUAAGUGACUGAAUAUAUUUACCUGCUGAUUAUAUGAUAAUUGAUUAAGAGUUUGUAUUAUGUGUUUUUCUAGUUUCACUCCAGUUCAAUGAUGUCAGUGCAAGAUGAUUGCUAUGUUUGGAGUCAUUAAAGGAGCAAGUACGCUCACCUUCCUGGCUCUUGAAAAGGAGUUUGGCUGGCUGUUUAUCUAUGUUCACACUCAGGGAGUUUAACACAUAGAGAGAACAGUACAGUGAAAGACUAUAUUCGUCAGAGGGAUUCUCCAGCAUAGUUAUGGAUGCCAAAAUGGACGACAAAGUGUCAUCGGUUUCCAGCUCCAAGCGCACCUCUUCUUCAAAGCAUUCAGUAGCCAGCGCCGCUGCAAAAGCCAGAGCUAUCGCUGAAGCUGCACGCACCAGGGCCACAUUUGCACAGAGGGAGCUCGAAAUAAAAAAACAAAAGGCCAAGUUGGAUUUAGAAAAGGCUACUCUUGAGGCAGAUCUAGAAGCAUUGGAACUUGAAAAAGCAGCUGCCGUUGCUGUUGCUGAGGCUGAGGUUUUAGAAGCAGCAGCAGGCAUAGACUGUGAUGAUAUACACAGCAACAGGAGUGGCAUCUCACCUUUGUCCAUCAAACAGCAAACUGAGGCAUACCUCGAAGAUCAAGCUCGAAUCAGUUUUAAACCUGCCAUAGAUUCUCAAGCCACACUGAGUCCCAUCUAUGUUAAGAAAGCAUCGCUGUCAACAAAACAAGAACUCCCAGAAUCCAACGUAGAAUAUCACACUCUAUCCACAAACCCUGGUUACUCACAGCUAAGUGAGCAUCAGCCAACUACAGGACAGCAGCCGUUCUCACCUCAGUUCACUCCAUUGAGCCCUCGCUAUUUUUGUAAGGCAUCUUCAGAACGCAGUCCACACAUACGGCAUUCAGAUACUUGUCAAAGGAUCAGUAUACAGCAAAACUCUCAGACUCCAUCUACAGGCAUGUUAGACUUUGCAAAGUAUCUGGCACGCAGGGAAUUAGUAACCGCAGGUCUCACUAAAUUUGAUGAUCAGCCAGAAGGCUACAGAGCUUGGCAGUCAUCCUUCGUCAGCACCAUUCAGGAUUUGGAGCUGACAGCCAGUGAAGAGUUAGAUCUACUAGUAAAAUGGCUUGGCAAGGAAUCAUCAGAACAUGUAAAAAGGAUCCGUGCUGCUCAUAUCACUAACCCUGAAGCUGCGCUUAAUUUGUCAUGGUUGAGACUUCAAGAAUGUUAUGCAACCCCAGAAGUGAUAGAGUGUGCUCUCUUUAAGCGACUGGACUGCUUCCCUCGUCUCACGUUGAGAGAAAACAUAAAACUAAGGGAAUUAAGUGACCUACUGAUGGAGCUUUUGGCAGCCAAGGAAGAUGGUUAUCUACCAGGUCUUAGUUACUUGGAUACUCCAAGAGGCAUUAACCCCAUUGUCGAAAAGCUGCCAGUGAACCUGCAAGAGAAAUGGCUCUCCGCUGGUUCAAGGUAUAAAGAACAGCAUAGGGUAUGUUUUCCCCCAUUUGCCUUUUUUGUGGAUUUUGUCAACAGUGAAGCCAAGGCUAGAAACGAUCCUAGUUUUGUUUUGACAAACAGCAGCCGUUAUUAUAAUCGAAAUGAAAAACCCAUGGCAAAUCAUGAUGGUGGGAGAACUGCCAUAGCCGUUCGAAAGACAAAUGUGUCUACAGUAGCUAAUCCAAGCUCCAGACAUAGAGAAGAAACAGAUGGCAGAGGCACAAAUGAUCUUGCUAAGUACUGUCCACUUCACAACAAACCCCACCCUCUGGAAAAAUGUAGGGUUUUUAAAGCGAAACCACUCACGGAACGGAAGAAGUUAUUAAAGGACCACAGACGGUGCUUUAGGUGCUGCUCAGUUACUCAUGUUGCAAGGGAAUGUCACAUGAACCUACAGUGCAAUGAAUGUGAGAGUGAUAAGCACUGCACUGCUCUUCAUCCGGAGACUACUCUCCCAGAAGUGUCGCCUCCUGCAUCAGUGUCAGAUACAGACCAGCGAAACAACUCCACAACAGAGGUAACCUCAAAGUGCACUGAAGUCUGUGGAGAUGGUCUCCUUGAACGAUCGUGCGCUAAGAUUUGCCUGGUGCGAGUUUUUCCAAAGGGACAACGAGAGCGCUCAGUCAAGAUGUAUGUCAUCCUUGAUGACCAGAGCAAUCGCUCGCUGGCCAAAUCUGAGUUUUUCCAACUCUUUGGGAUCACUAGCAACCUUUCCCCAUACUUGCUGAAGACAUGCGCUGGUACUACUGAGAUGACAGGGAGAAAGGCAGUCGGUUUCCAGAUUGAGGCUUUAGAUGGUGAAGUGUGCUUAGACUUGCCUCCACUCAUUGAAUGUAAUGACAUCAUGACCAACAGGUCUGAAAUCCCCUCACCAGAGGUUGCGGGUUCCCAUGCCCACUUGAUGCCCAUAGCGCCUUACAUUCCUGAGAUAGAUCCCGAAGCACAGAUUUUGAUCUUACUGGGAAGAGAUCUCAUUCGUGUGCACAAAGUAAGGCAACAAAUUAACGGCCCCCACAAUGCUCCCUUUGCCCAGCAGUUGGAUUUGGGAUGGGUGAUAGUUGGGGAAGUUUGCAUCAACAGGGCACACAAGCCUACUGUAGCUGUCUAUAAGACUAGUGUCCUGCCGAAUGGACGUCCAUCUUUCAUGGUGCCAUGCCAGAAUGAAAUAUCUGUGAAAGAAAAGUUGGCGUAUGGCGGGGAGCAAAGACCCAAUGUUCACCCUUUCCUGUCCAGUUAUGGCUCCAUCAACGUGCCUGCUGAGGAAAAACUUGGGGUAAGCGUAUUCACAAGACAAACGUGUGAUAACGAACCCGCUUUGUCGUUUGAAGAUGAGAGCUUUCUGAACAUCAUGCAGAAGGAGUUCUGUCAGAAUGAACAAAACAGCUGGGUUGCUCCUCUGCCAUUCAGGUCGCCCAGACCACGCCUACCAAACAACCGUCCUCAAGCCUUGUCUCGUCUCCACUCUCUGGAUCGCACAUUGGGCAAAAAUCCUAAAAUGAAAGAGCAGUUCAUUGCGUUCAUGAAGAAGCUCUUUGAAAAUGGGCACGCUGAGAAGGCACCUUCUCUCCAAGAACAUGAAGAAUGUUGGUAUUUACCCAUUUUUGGGGUCUACCACCCCCAAAAACCCGAUCAAAUACGUGUGGUAUUUGACUCAAGUGCACAAGAAAGUGGCAUUUCUCUUAAUGGCGUCCUGCUCUCAGGCCCUGACCUAAAUAACUCCCUGUUAGGCGUGCUGCUCAGGUUCAGAAAGGACAUUGUUGCUGUGACGGCCGACAUCCAACAGAUGUUCUAUGGUUUCAUGGUGAGAGAGGACCACAGAAAUUAUCUAAGAUUUCUUUGGCACAAAGAUCAUGACCUGACAAAGGAAGUAGUGGAAUACCGCAUGCGCGUGCAUGUGUUUGGGAAUAGCCCUUCACCUGCAGUCGCUAUAUAUGGACUUCGAAGAGCUUCCCAAGAGGGUGAGCACAAAUACGGACCUGACACACGCCAGUUUGUGGAGAGACACUUUUAUGUGGACGACGGACUGAUCUCUCUCUCGACAGAAGCAGAGGCUAUUGACCUUCUCAAGCGCACCCAAGCAUCACUGGCAGAAUCUAAUCUUAAACUGCAUAAGAUUGCUUCGAACAGUAUCAAAGUGAUGCAGGCUUUCACCCCUGAAGAUCUGGCUACAGGUUUAAAAGACUUGGCGCUAAAUGAGGAAGUUCUCCCAGCGCAAAGAAGCCUUGGUCUGUGCUGGAGGAUAGAUUCUGACACCUUCACAUUCAAGGUUGCAGCUGACGAUAAACCCUUCACUCGCCGAGGAGUGCUAUCGACAGUUAACAGCCUCUUCGACCCACUGGGCUUGGCCGCUCCAGUGACCAUCCGAGGACGAGCACUACUAAGGGAACUUUCAGCUGACAUAUGCGACUGGGAUAGAGAACUUCCCACAAACAAGUUAAAUGAAUGGGAAACAUGGAGAAGAUCACUACAGGAUUUAAGUAAUCUUCAGCUUCCUCGUGCCUACAUACAACAGUCCCUCUCCACUGCCAUGUAUACUGAGCUUUGUGUAUUUUCUGACGCCUCAAACUGGGCCAUAGGAGCAGUAGCUUACCUGAAAGUCAUCACUACAGAUGGACAGUGUCGAGUCGGCUUUGUACUUGGGAAAGCCAAGCUAGCUCCUAAACCAGAGCCCACAAUCCCUCGCCUGGAACUCUGUGGGGCAGUGCUGGCCGUCGAAGUGGCAGAACUAAUCCUCAGGGAACUCGAUCUUAAACCUGAUACUGUGAAGUUUUUCUGUGACAGCAAGGUGGUUCUCGGAUACAUCCACAAUGAUUCUAAACGAUUCUAUGUGUAUGUGCACAAUCGUGUUCACCGAAUUCGACAGACAACUUCUCCUCAGCAGUGGCACUACGUGCCAACAGAUCAGAAUCCAGCUGACCUAGCCACCAGAUCGGUCCCAGCAUCUCGGCUUGGAGAGACUAUGUGGUUUACAGGUCCAGAUUUUCUUCACAAGCCUCCUGUGGCUCAAACAUUUGAGCCCUUUGAACUGGUCGAACCAGAUACAGACGUGGAGGUAAGACCACAGCUGACAUCCUGUGCUACCCAUAUAACCGAGGGUAAGCUGACUUCAAAUAGGUUCCAACGCUUCUCCACCUGGAGGUCUUUACUGAGAGCAGUUGCCUUCUUGAGCCACCAGACUCAAUCAUUCAGUACCAACCCCCCAAAUACUUGUAGAGGAUGGCAUAUGUGCAACAAACUUCAUACUCCAGAAGAACUGGAGGCAGCAAAGCUGACCAUACUUAGGUUGGUCCAAAGGGACGCUUAUCCUGAAGAGUAUGUUGCACUGCAAGAGAAUAGAGCAAUUUCAAAGACAAGCACAAUCCUCAAGCUGGACCCUUUCAUGGACAACGGUCUUUUACGGGUUGGUGGACGUCUGAAACACUCCACUGUUAGUCUUGGAAUGAAAAAUCCAAUCAUUCUUCCAAAACAGAGUCAUGUGACCAAAUUGCUAGUGACCCAUUACCAUGAAAAGAUAAAACACCAAGGACGACAGUUUACAGAAGGGGCAAUCAGAGCGGAAGGCCUGUGGAUUGUUGCUGGCAAAAGGUUGAUUAGCUCUGUAAUCCAUUCCUGUAUUGUCUGCCGAAAGCUGAGAGGAAAACUGGAAGUCCAGAAAAUGGCCGACCUUCCCCCAGAACGUCUGAGCAUGUCUCCUCCCUUUACAUAUGUAGGGUUGGAUGUUUUUGGUCCGUGGGAGGUAAUCACCCGAAGAACCCGAGGUGGAGCAGCUCAGAGUAAGCGAUGGGCGAUCCUUUUCACAUGCAUGAGUACCAGGGCUGUGCAUAUAGAAGUCAUUGAGUCCAUGGACUCAAGUAGCUGCAUCAAUGCACUACGCAGACUUUUUGCUUUAAGAGGGCCUGUGAAGCAGCUGAGGUCAGACUGUGGUACAAACUUUGUUGGAGCAUGUUCUGAAUUAGGAAUAAGACAAGAUGAUCAGAGUCAAGACAAGAUCCUGAGAUACCUCUACGAACACGGCUGUACAUGGGAGUUCAACCCCCCGCAUGCCUCGCAUAUGGGAGGUGUGUGGGAGCGCAUGAUUGGGGUAACCAGGAGGAUACUGGACUCCAUGUUGUCUCACGGUAAACACAGUUCCUUGACUCAUGAAGUGCUCUGUACCUUGAUGGCAGAGGUGUCUGCUAUAAUCAACGCGAGGCCAUUGAUCCCAGUCUCCUCCGAUCCUUCUUCACCACUGCUGCUGACUCCCGCUAUGAUAGUAACGCAGAAACCUGGUGUACCACCUCCAGCUGGCGAGUUUGUUGGAAAAGAACUUUUGAAGUGCCAGUGGAGACGAGUACAGGCACUUGCUGACGAAUUCUGGACCCGAUGGAGAAAUGAAUAUCUACACACUCUGCAGCCAAGACGCAAGUGGCAAGUAGCAUGUCGCAACUUACAAGUGGGUGAUGUAGUGUUGCUCAAACAGAAGCAGUCAUCUCGUAACGAGUGGCCGAUGGGGUUGGUCACUACCACCUUUCCAAGUAGUGAUGGGAAGGUGCGCAAAGUGGAAGUCAGAACAACAUCACAAGACAAAGUAAAGACUUUCUCAAGGCCUAUAAGUGAUGUUAUUUUGCUCUUAUCAAUCGAGAGUCAGAAGUCAACCAAAGACAGUUAAGCACAAAGUGGCAUAUUUGGGAAUGCCAGACGGGGAGUGUUCUGUUUUCAAUAUGUUCAUAUGCUAAUGAGACAAAUAAGUGUAAAGUGUAUUUCUAUUGUUAUACAUUGGAAAAUUGUGAAUCUUUUAUUUUGACAUCUGGAUAGACAGGAAGGCUUUUAGUUUGACAUGCGCAUAGACAGGAAGCAGGAAGGGCAGAGAACAGUGGGAAAGCAUGGCUACACCUGUGUAAUCAUUCAUGUGGAAUCCAAAGCAAUCCUUCAAAGGAGUCCUUCAGAAAGCAAUAGUCUUUCACUCCAGUUCAAUGAUGUCAGUGCAAGAUGAUUGCUAUGUUUGGAGUCAUUAAAGGAGCAAGUACGCUCACCUUCCUGGCUCUUGAAAAGGAGUUUGGCUGGCUGUUUAUCUAUGUUCACACUCAGGGAGUUUAACACAUAGAGAGAACAGUACACUGA
This is an RNA transcript of Oreochromis niloticus (Nile tilapia), 6978 nucleotides long. RefSeq lists it as uncharacterized. The record is from RefSeq and is a predicted model, not a curated record. Lineage: Eukaryota; Metazoa; Chordata; Actinopteri; Cichliformes; Cichlidae. The transcript is spliced from 2 exons.